CUUUAAUAUAAAACAAAUAAAUGAAAAACAAAGAAAAGACAGAGAGGUUGAGUGCGUCACAAGCAGGAAUGUGACUAUCCCUGCAACCAACAAACUUCUAAAUCAGCUGGAGGUUGCGCAAACUCUUUUGAUCAUGCUGUGACUCAUGAAUUAAAUGAUGAACAAAUGUGUGCGCAAACACUCUAUCCAAGAAAGCCUCGUUGAGAUCAUUGCUCAAAUGAAGUAACAUCUACAAGAACCUACUUGCUGAACACCUCAAUGCUCGAUUGAUCGCUGAAACCAUUUUUUCUUUUUGCCAUCAAAGUUUUCUCCUCGGGAGGAGCAACUCAGAGGAGGUCGACCAGCUUGGACCGGACAACACCAUAAAACUAAAAAGAAAAACAACAACUUUAAGGAUGCCGCACAAAAGGAGAACCCACGGUCACCACAAAGACGCAAAACAGUCGCAGCCGAGUCAGGAAACACCCAAACCGGCACCUCAGGUCUCUGCUGGGAAGCCUGCGCAGUUUGAGACUGCAUCCCAAGUCAAGAGCAAGGCUACAGUUCCUUCUCCUGCAGCUGGAUUGGCAGCUGCCGCUGGUACGGCAGCAGCACCGUCCUCUACAAAACCUAAAGAGUCGCUCAAAGACUCAGCUAAGGUUCAGGUGGAAGUUUCCUCUGUAGCAUCAGUAGCCAAACAGGCUCUUUCUACAGAUCCCUUGGACGCCUUGGCCAGCAGCCUACCUGCACCUGACCCUAUUGCCCCCUCACAGCCGUCUUUCACUGGCCCAGAGGUCAAAGAGGUAAACCAGACAGCUCUUGCUUGUGUUUGUUUGUGUGCUGCAUGGAUUUGGUGUGUUUUAACGUGUGCUGCAUGUGUCCCAGCAUGACAUCAAAGCUGAAAAAGGUCACAAGUGUGGAGAACAUGAGAGCACGCUGCCUCCAGACUACAGAUUUAAAAAUGUGGUCAGUUUGUCACAUUCUCUGUUUCCCCUUUUCUUGCUGUGUUUCUGUGCUUAUGUCAUUUUGACCUGGAUGGCAAGAAGGUUUAGAGGGAACAAAGUUUUUUUUUUUUUUUUUUGUAAAGGUUAUCAACUCUGCAAGCUUUAAAAGACAGCUCUGCUGUCAUUGUGGAGGUGAUUUAAGCCAAAUACAUUUAAACUCCAGAUUGGGGGUCUGUACAUUAUAAAGAGUCAUUCAGGUGGAUUUUUUGCCAACCAAAACCCAGUAGGAGCCACAAAGUCUUCACUCACCCUUUAGAAAAAUAAUAUACUAAUUUAUAUUUAUGUUUUUGCUUCUGACACAAUGCAUUUAAAUAAAGUAUUGCCUUUUUUGGCAUAAAUAAAACACAGACAUGAAGAGAAAAUAGCAAUUAAAAAAAAAAUAUGAAAUAGUUUAUAACUUUUGACAGAGUUUUACAUGACUGCCUUUCAAAAUAAAAUACAUCCUAUCCCACAGGAUCGUGCCAAUGCAGCAAAUGCACGAAGAAGUAUAAAGUAAUCAAUGAUUAAAAAAAAAAAUGUUUAUCUUACUGUUUCUGGUGCAUUUCAGAAACAAAUUCAUAAAUAUAACCAACAAAAACUAAAUCAGAGCUAAUUAAGUGACCCCUACCAUAUAUUAAAACCAUGAGACACACUUUAAAUCCUUGAAUUUGUUCAAAUAUAGAAAAUCUGCAUAAUAAUCAAGUGGAUUAUAACUUAAUGUAGCUUUUAUUCUGGUUUUGCUUACUUACAAUAAAUACAUUUUCUGUGAUAAAUAAGGCUCAAAAUUAAGUCCAAAUGAGUCAGUAUGACGACAAACUACAAAGGAUUGAUUGCAAAUUACGGCUACUAUUGUUAGGAUCCUUGUUGAAUGAUUUAUACCGUCCUUCAACUAUUUGUGAAUGACUUGAAUAAAGUUUAAGUAAAUUAACUUUUUUCUCACUUUACUACUUACUUUUUCUUUUACAGUUACUUUAAGAAAUGUUUUUAAACAUUUAAUUUUAUGUUUUACAUCGCUAAAGUUUAUUAGUUUGAUCAAAAAUUUUGAUUUUUGGAUAUAGUUGAAGACAAACCCCAACAUUCAGAAUAAACUAAAACCAUCAUUUUAUAAGCAAUAUCCUUAGUUAUUUACAAGCAAGCCACCUUCUGGUAUUACUUAUUCUCUCUAAUUAUUUACACUUUUGUUUUGUCAUUCUU
Oryzias javanicus (javanese ricefish) is the source of this 2156-nucleotide long non-coding RNA. The record is from Ensembl. Lineage: Eukaryota; Metazoa; Chordata; Actinopteri; Beloniformes; Adrianichthyidae.